CCCUGGGUGGCUCAGUCGGUUAAGCGUCUGACUUUGGCUCAGGUCAUGAUCUCGCCCGUGUGUGGGUUCAAGCCCCGCAUCGGGCU
This 86-nucleotide transfer RNA is filed under the name Felis catus (domestic cat). It matches the Rfam family "tRNA". Rfam says of the family: Transfer RNA (tRNA) molecules are approximately 80 nucleotides in length. Lineage: Eukaryota; Metazoa; Chordata; Mammalia; Carnivora; Felidae. The record is from Rfam by way of RNAcentral.